RNAcentral lists this ribosomal RNA (509 nucleotides) under uncultured bacterium. RNAcentral's name for it is "partial 16S ribosomal RNA". It matches the Rfam family "Bacterial small subunit ribosomal RNA", at positions 28 to 507 of the family's 1533-position model. The record is from RNAcentral.
GACGAACGCUGGCGGCGUGCUUAACACAUGCAAGUCGAACGAAGAGCGAUGGAAGCUUGCUUCUAUCAAUCUUAGUGGCGAACGGGUGAGUAACGCGUAAUCAACCUGCCCUUCAGAGGGGGACAACAGUUGGAAACGACUGCUAAUACCGCAUACAAUCUGACCUCGGCAUCGAGGAUAGAUGAAAGGUGGCCUCUACAUGUAAGCUAUCACUGAAGAGGGGGUUGCGUCUGAUUAGCUAGUUGGAGGGGUAACGGCCCACCAAGGCGAUGAUCAGUAGCCGGUCUGAGAGGAUGAACGGCCACAUUGGGACUGAGACACGGCCCAGACUCCUACGGGAGGCAGCAGUGGGGAAUCUUCCGCAAUGGACGAAAGUCUGACGGAGCAACGCCGCGUGAGUGAUGACGGCCUUCGGGUUGUAAAGCUCUGUUAAUCGGGACGAAAGGCCUUUUUGCGAAUAGUGAGAAGGAUUGACGGUACCGGAAUAGAAAGCCACGGCUAACUACGUG